This 292-nucleotide ribosomal RNA is filed under the name uncultured Acinetobacter sp. Its description in RNAcentral is "partial 16S ribosomal RNA". It matches the Rfam family "Bacterial small subunit ribosomal RNA", at positions 505 to 796 of the family's 1533-position model. Lineage: Bacteria; Pseudomonadati; Pseudomonadota; Gammaproteobacteria; Moraxellales; Moraxellaceae. The record is from RNAcentral.
GUGUCAGCCGCCGCGGUAAUACAGAGGGUGCGAGCGUUAAUCGGAUUUACUGGGCGUAAAGCGUGCGUAGGCGGCUUAUUAAGUCGGAUGUGAAAUCCCCGAGCUUAACUUGGGAAUUGCAUUCGAUACUGGUGAACUAGAGUAUGGGAGAGGAUGGUAGAAUUCCAGGUGUAGCGGUGAAAUGCGUAGAGAUCUGGAGGAAUACCGAUGGCGAAGGCAGCCAUCUGGCCUAAUACUGACGCUGAGGUACGAAAGCAUGGGGAGCAAACAGGAUUAGAUACCCGAGUAGUCC